RNAcentral lists this ribosomal RNA (418 nucleotides) under uncultured bacterium. RNAcentral describes it as "bacterial SSU rRNA". It matches the Rfam family "Bacterial small subunit ribosomal RNA", at positions 500 to 916 of the family's 1533-position model. The record is from RNAcentral.
CCUACGGGAGGCAGCAGCCGCGGUAAUACGUAGGGUGCAAGCGUUAAUCGGAAUUACUGGGCGUAAAGCGUGCGCAGGCGGUUUGUUAAGACAGUCGUGAAAUCCCCGGGCUUAACCUGGGAACUGCGAUUGUGACUGGCAAGCUAGAGUACGGCAGAGGGGGGUGGAAUUCCUGGUGUAGCAGUGAAAUGCGUAGAGAUCAGGAGGAACACCGAUGGCGAAGGCAGCCCCCUGGGCUAGUACUGACGCUCAUGCACGAAAGCGUGGGGAGCAAACAGGAUUAGAUACCCUGGUAGUCCACGCCCUAAACGAUGUCAAUUAGUUGUUGGUUCUUUAUUGAAUCAGUAACGUAGCUAACGCGUGAAAUUGACCGCCUGGGGAGUACGGUCGCAAGAUUAAAACUCAAAGGAAUUGACGG